AAAACAUGUCCUUUAGAAUUUAAUUUAAGGUCUGACCUGCCCACUGAUUUAAAUGGCCGCAGUAUUUUAACUGUGCAAAGGUAGCAUAAUCAUUAGUCUUUUAAUUGAAGGCUUGUAUGAAUGGUUGGACGAGAUAUUAACUGUCUCAUAUAAAUUGAUUUAGAAUUUUAUUUUUUAGUUAAAAAGCUAAAAUUUUUUUAAAAGACGAGAAGACCCUAUAGAUCUUUAUAAAUUAUGAAUUAUAGUUAUUUAGAUUAUUUAAAUUAUAAUUAAUUAAUUUAUUUUGUUGGGGUGACAUUAAAAUUUAAUAAACUUUUAAUAAGUUAUUACAUUGAUUCAUGAAUAGUUGAUCCAUUAUUAAUGAUUAAAAAAUUAAGUUACCUUAGGGAUAACAGCGUAAUUUUUUUGAAGAGUUCAUAUCGAUAAAAAAGAUUGCGACCUCGAUGUUGGAUUAAGAUAUAAUUUUGGGUGCAGCAAUUCAAUAAUUAAGUCUGUUCGACUUUUAAUUUCUUCAUGA
This 517-nucleotide ribosomal RNA is filed under the name Patanothrix skevingtoni. RNAcentral's name for it is "partial 16S ribosomal RNA". It matches the Rfam family "Bacterial large subunit ribosomal RNA", at positions 1810 to 2603 of the family's 2925-position model. Lineage: Eukaryota; Metazoa; Arthropoda; Insecta; Diptera; Therevidae. The record is from RNAcentral.